Non-coding RNA from Peromyscus maniculatus bairdii (prairie deer mouse), 576 nucleotides. The record is from RefSeq and is a predicted model, not a curated record. Lineage: Eukaryota; Metazoa; Chordata; Mammalia; Rodentia; Cricetidae.
UUGGUGGCAUCAAUCUAUUUUGGAGAAGAUGAUUGGCAAUGAAGAAACUCCACAUGGAGUUUACUUUCUUUGUGGCAAAAGUAAGCCACUGGGCAAGAAAGUGCUCUUGCCUUGACUGCUGACAGUGUGCUCUCCAAAUUGGACAAGCAGGACAUAAAAGAAAGGAUGGCAAAACAUUGCCAAAACAAGAUUUUAAGAACCAGGGAAAAGUUUAGGCUCUGAAAAAGACCUUCAACAACAGGAUCCACAGACCACUGGAAGCACAAGUUACCCCAGAUUAGGAAAACAAUGUUACAAGACUGAAUUCUUCCUUGCAAGGAGACAAGACCACAGGAAAAACCUUUAACCAGGUGUGCUUUACCUCCUUUGCCAUCAGAAUUUGUUACCAAAGACACCCAGGAGCCAGUUAUUUGGAUGGCAUACAGAUUGCGGCAUUUGGAAGACAUAGGGACAUACACUCAGAACACUGGCUUCUAGGGAUUUUGUUGUAGGAUACUGACCUGCCACAAAUACUUCUUACGUGGUUUUACUAAUAUCAAGACAAUUGUAUACACAAUGAAAUGAAAAUGGGUUACC